RNAcentral lists this ribosomal RNA (467 nucleotides) under uncultured bacterium. RNAcentral's name for it is "bacterial SSU rRNA". It matches the Rfam family "Bacterial small subunit ribosomal RNA", at positions 355 to 825 of the family's 1533-position model. The record is from RNAcentral.
UAGGGAAUAUUGGACAAUGGGUGAGAGCCUGAUCCAGCCAUGCCGCGUGCAGGAAGAAGGCGUUAUGCGUUGUAAACUGCUUUUUGCCAGGGGAUAAAAAGACCGUGCGCGGUUAAUUGAAGGUACCUGGUGAAUAAGCCACGGCUAACUACGUGCCAGCAGCCGCGGUAAUACGUAGGUGGCAAGCGUUGUCCGGAUUUAUUGGGUUUAAAGGGUGCGUAGGUGGCCCUGUAAGUCAGUGGUGAAAUAUCUCAGCUUAACUGAGAGGGUGCCAUUGAUACUGCAGGGCUUGAGUACAGAUGAGGUAGGCGGAAUUGACGGUGUAGCGGUGAAAUGCAUAGAUAUCGUCAAGAACACCGGUAGCGAAGGCAGCUUACCAAGCUGUAACUGACACUGAGGCACGAAAGUGUGGGGAUCAAACAGGAUUAGAUACCCCAGUAGUCCCUGAGCGGGCUGGCAAGGCGCAU